AAACAAGUCAUCAAUGCCCUUAAAUUAGAAAAUCUGUGGGCUCAAUAGCACACGAUUGAAAAAAAAAGAGAUUUGAUAUACAACACAGGAAGUUUAGGGGCUUAGAAAUGGUUUUUUUGCCUAGAAUUUUCACGCUUUAGGAGACAUCAAUUAAUAAUGUAGCUUAUGUCAACUUCAUCAGGGUUACAUUUAAUGUCUUUCUCAAGCCAAUUGGCUAGAUGAAGCCAUGAAGCCAUUUCUAUGGCGAGGGGAUAGAGAGAACAAACAAAGAUAAGAGGAAACAAAAUUAUAUGGUGUUAGUGCUGUCUAUUCUUUAUUUCAUUGAGGAAUUAUCUACUUUUGGCAUGUCUUGGAUUUCUCUAUUAUCUCAGCUUUAGUGUGUUUUUCCUCGUAAUAUGCAAUGUGAAGUCGAUUACAAGAAUUGUUGGAAGCAAGGUGAUUCACUGUUUCUGUUCUCAUUUACAAUGUAAUAGAUAUUAUUUGAACUUGCCUUUCCUCUGAAAGUUAUAAUAAACAUGAAACAAUUCAACUAUUCUGGAUAGGGGUGAGCAUUUGGUUCAAAUCGAACCGAACCGAACCGAACCGAAUUAAAUUAUAAAAACCGAAUUAUAUAUUUUGGAAACCGAACCGAAUCGAAAUUGAUAAAAAUCGAAUCGAAUCAAACUGAACCACUCUAUUUCAGUUCGGUUCGGUUCAAAUCGAUCGGUUUUGAUUUUUUAUUAUUUUUUAAUUUAGACUUAAUUUUCAAGUUAUUUGAUCUAAUUUUGACCUUGGUUUGAACUUAAUAACCAUUAAUCAAUGAAAUUAAACAAUUUAUAUAUAUAAAAUUAUACAAAAUUCAUAAAUUCCCUAUAAAAAUAAAUCAAUUUAAAAAUCAAUAAAGCGAUUCGGUUCGGUUUAGUUUGGUUCAACCGAUUUUUUCUCUCCAAAACCGAAUCAAACCAAAAUUCUUAAAAUGUAAAACCGAACAGAAUUAUC
RNAcentral lists this unclassified non-coding RNA (978 nucleotides) under Hevea brasiliensis (rubber tree). Lineage: Eukaryota; Viridiplantae; Streptophyta; Magnoliopsida; Malpighiales; Euphorbiaceae. The record is from RNAcentral.